CCCUCUCCCUCCGCUUCUCCGGCGGCGCCCCGGAGGACGAGGGGCCGCAGGGGUCCGAAGGACGCUUCUGCCCCGACAUACUCACUCCUGAAUCAGACAGAUAAAAACAUUGAUAAAACAAAGUGAAGGACUGUUAGAUUCAGAAGGUUAUGCUGAUGAAAGCUACGUGCACCUGCAGUAAACGGAAGUGUGGACGCUGUUGGUGGGGCGAGCUGCACCUGACAUGGCGCCCGCUGCCGUCCGGGAGGGGCACUGCUCUCACUUCAGUCACGAUACUAGGCACUAAACUUACUGUUCAGCGAGUGGGUGUCGAUUUGAUGAAACAAUAAGAAACAGAUACUCAUGGACAAAGACUGAACUUUGAUCAGCACUAUUAAGGAGUGCAUUGCACAGUGAGGCAAAGUCCAGGUUGUGUAAAGGUAAUUAAUUACAAAUAUAUAUACCCUAUUCUAUGGGUUCAAAUAUCUGUUUGUGCUGAGGUCACUAAUGGACCAGUGAGAGCAUUUCAAACACACCUGUUUUUGGCCAUUUUCAUAAUCGAUAUGAGGACUGUUUAUGCAUGACGUGUUG
Molecule: long non-coding RNA, 570 nt
Organism: Gymnodraco acuticeps
Lineage: Eukaryota; Metazoa; Chordata; Actinopteri; Perciformes; Bathydraconidae
Exons: 3
Source: RefSeq, a predicted model, not a curated record